GUCUUUCACGUACAGCAUAGUCUUUCUUUUAUGGAGCUACGUUGAAUACAGCUCAUCAGUGAACCCUGCCCAUAACUCGCUGCUGAACGUCUCUCUGCUCAGUGAUAAAGUGAACUUAUUUCUCCAUUUUUCCUUUGAAUCUCAGGCAUUUUCUCAGUAUCCAUGUGUGUUCCAACUAGAACUUCCCAAAACUUCCACAGUUAAACCAGACUGAUGUACAGCUGCUUUGUUCUAAUAAUACUCUAGCUUUCCUGGCUGAGAAACAGUUCCCAAACUAGACGUGAUAGUCUAUGAAGUCUAACAUGGAGCGAUGUACCACCUCUGGGAAGGACAUCUUUCACAGUCCUGCUUCUUUGCAACCUCAUUGGCACCGAAAGGUAGCAUGAAAUGGAGCCAGGAUGACAGGGCCCCAUCUGAGCCAUGCCCAGCUCCCCCAGUCUGCACAAACCCACUCUAUCAAUCACGGUGCAGAUUUGUUCAGCUGCUUUAUGAUUUACCACCAGCACAGCACAGCCUCAGACCCUACCGUGCAGCAUCUUUAAUCCUACAGCAACUCCUCUUCAUGCAUGAUUGUAAGUUUGACAGGGACGUUUUCCUCCACAAACUUGCUGUGAAAGAUCUGCUUCCGGAGGCCACGGAUUUGUGUGUGGUGGAAUGGAGUUUUGCAGUAAAAGUGUGGCAUCUGGUGGUCCAGAGGAGAAAUGGCAGCCCACUCUGUGAAGAAAGAAAUGGUCACAGGCUGAACUAG
RNAcentral lists this long non-coding RNA (748 nucleotides) under Phasianus colchicus (ring-necked pheasant). Its description in RNAcentral is "lncRNA (ENSPCLG00000001523.1)". The record is from RNAcentral. Lineage: Eukaryota; Metazoa; Chordata; Aves; Galliformes; Phasianidae.